RNAcentral lists this ribosomal RNA (1010 nucleotides) under Candida tropicalis. Its description in RNAcentral is "SSU rRNA". It matches the Rfam family "Eukaryotic small subunit ribosomal RNA", at positions 69 to 1106 of the family's 1831-position model. The record is from RNAcentral. Lineage: Eukaryota; Fungi; Ascomycota; Pichiomycetes; Serinales; Debaryomycetaceae.
GCAUUUAUACAGUGAAACUGCGAAUGGCUCAUUAAAUCAGUUAUCGUUUAUUUGAUAGUACCUUACUACUUGGAUAACCGUGGUAAUUCUAGAGCUAAUACAUGCUUAAAAUCCCGACUGUUUGGAAGGGAUGUAUUUAUUAGAUAAAAAAUCAAUGUCUUCGGACUCUUUGAUGAUUCAUAAUAACUUUUCGAAUCGCAUGGCCUUGUGCUGGCGAUGGUUCAUUCAAAUUUCUGCCCUAUCAACUUUCGAUGGUAGGAUAGUGGCCUACCAUGGUUUCAACGGGUAACGGGGAAUAAGGGUUCGAUUCCGGAGAGGGAGCCUGAGAAACGGCUACCACAUCCAAGGAAGGCAGCAGGCGCGCAAAUUACCCAAUCCCGACACGGGGAGGUAGUGACAAUAAAUAACGAUACAGGGCCCUUUCGGGUCUUGUAAUUGGAAUGAGUACAAUGUAAAUACCUUAACGAGGAACAAUUGGAGGGCAAGUCUGGUGCCAGCAGCCGCGGUAAUUCCAGCUCCAAAAGCGUAUAUUAAAGUUGUUGCAGUUAAAAAGCUCGUAGUUGAACCUUGGGCUUGGUUGGCCGGUCCAUCUUUCUGAUGCGUACUGGACCCAACCGAGCCUUUCCUUCUGGCUAGCCUUUUGGCGAACCAGGACUUUUACUUUGAAAAAAUUAGAGUGUUCAAAGCAGGCCUUUGCUCGAAUAUAUUAGCAUGGAAUAAUAGAAUAGGACGUUAUGGUUCUAUUUUGUUGGUUUCUAGGACCAUCGUAAUGAUUAAUAGGGACGGUCGGGGGUAUCAGUAUUCAGUUGUCAGAGGUGAAAUUCUUGGAUUUACUGAAGACUAACACUGCGAAAGCAUUUACCAAGGACGUUUUCAUUAAUCAAGAACGAAAGUUAGGGGAUCGAAGAUGAUCAGAUACCGUCGUAGUCUUAACCAUAAACUAUGCCGACUAGGGAUCGGUUGUUGUUCUUUUAUUGACGCAAUCGGCACCUUACGAGAAAUCAAAGUCU